UACUCCUACGGGAGGCAGCAGUGGGGAAUAUUGCACAAUGGGCGCAAGCCUGAUGCAGCAACGCCGCGUGAGGGAUGACGGCCUUCGGGUUGUAAACCUCUUUUGUCAGGGAAGAAGCCUUCGGGUGACGGUACCUGGAGAAAAAGCACCGGCUAACUACGUGCCAGCAGCCGCGGUAAUUAAU
RNAcentral lists this ribosomal RNA (184 nucleotides) under Leucobacter chironomi. RNAcentral describes it as "partial 16S ribosomal RNA". It matches the Rfam family "Bacterial small subunit ribosomal RNA", at positions 334 to 528 of the family's 1533-position model. The record is from RNAcentral. Lineage: Bacteria; Bacillati; Actinomycetota; Actinomycetes; Micrococcales; Microbacteriaceae.